AGCGGUCGAUGCGGUGUUUAGUCAUUAUUAUGUCUAUGGGUGGACAAAGCACAGGAAGUAGCUCCGUAAGUUAUUUAGUUUGUAAAAAGUGCUCAUAACUAUUUCGUCUCGAACGAUACAGGAUAAAACAGGAUUAUUUUUGUUGAUAGGUUGAUCAAGCAGAUGUGAGCACUUUAUAGGUGGAUGCCGCUUGGCACAAGACUCGUGGAGAAAUGUAUAGCUUUGACAUAAAAUAUCGCUGGCCUGUGUGGCUAUGUGGAUGUCUUGCUCAUCAAACGAAAUAUGCUGGUGACUCCCAAGAUCUGACUGACCGGAGAAAACAGGUGGGAAAAUCUCAGGUAGAGUCAAGUAAACGUGUUUGCCAUGCAUGCUGGUCUGUAUGCAUGUGAAGCCUAAGCAAACAAGGAUUUGCGCAACUUUUCCAGGGAAAGAUGCAGUCAUAUCUUUAUCUUUAUGCUGUGUAGAGAAUAUGGACAGACCCCACCACAGUUUGUCCUCUGAAAUGACCUUGCUGUUUAUUCUUUGGUGUCUAAUCACGCUGUUCAACUGAAGUUCAGAAUGGACUUUAGUGACCCAUGGGUAAGCUGAACAUUUUAGUAUCUUGAUGAACAAUGUGGCCUUAAAAUAUAAGGCCAUUCAUCUUGCCAUCUUUUGACCUUACUAUUAAGGUUUUCCAAC
Esox lucius (northern pike) is the source of this 678-nucleotide long non-coding RNA. RefSeq lists it as uncharacterized. NCBI's taxonomy places the organism in Eukaryota, Metazoa, Chordata, Actinopteri, Esociformes, Esocidae. The transcript has 3 exons. The record is from RefSeq and is a predicted model, not a curated record.